Molecule: non-coding RNA, 961 nt
Organism: Danio rerio (zebrafish)
Lineage: Eukaryota; Metazoa; Chordata; Actinopteri; Cypriniformes; Danionidae
Source: RefSeq, a predicted model, not a curated record
UUCAUCCAGGAAUGCGCUCUCAAACUCUUUAUACGCCGAGCUCUUCUCCUUCGUGUUGUUCGCUGUUUUAAAGUACACUAAGUUUGAGUGAGAGAAAAAGGUAAAACUUUAUAAUUACUUUAAAUAACGGCGUCGACUUGAGUGGAAAAUGUGGCUAUAUAAACACAUGCUUGUUAUUGAUAUUAAUGAAAGAUAUUACCACUAUGACAGCUGACAAAAGUGCACUUAACAAAACCACAAUGAGAAGAGACCGCGGGUUGAGUUGUAACCCAGUCGGUUUAACCAAUUAGAAAAGAGCUGCAGGGGUGAAAUUACUUCAAACGUGAGAGCACCACCCUCCUGAGGUGACCGUAAAAGUUAUAAAAGGAUUUGCAGGACUGUAAGAAAAGAGGCCCGCGAUGACUGCUGGGGGAUGACAUGACACCGCUAAUGAGGAAAGGCCCAUCACAAGACCACACGCAUAAAGAUGAGAUCAGAGAGUAAACAGAGACCAAAUGUGCUCUAAUAAAACGACAGAUCUUCUAGCCGGCUCAUUUCCAUAAAGCGGUUCCUGCACAAAUCAGUGGUGCAGGAGCUAAUCUCCCUGAAGAUGAAGUCUUGGACAGGUCCAGGUGUAACGCCAGCAAAACCAGCAAGUGUUGCCAAGACAUUUCUCCCUCGCUUCUAAACUUCAGCACAGGAGGACAAAGUGCCUUUCACAGAGAGAGAGAGAGAGACGGGAGAAAAGAGAGGGUGCCAAACAACACUAGCCACAGCCAAAGGGCCGUAUCAAGCCGGAGGAAUGACUGAUGGAAAGAUAAGGGACAAACCAAAGAGAGCAGACCAAACAGGAAAAGCAGGCGAGCAGCAAAUGGACGGGGUGUAGCCGGAGCGCAUGGUGGACGCUCACGUUGCAUGGAUCUGCUUUUGUUUAGUGCACACAAGAAAAGCACUUUUUUUGUCUAAUAAAAAAAACAUUCCG